This 142-nucleotide unclassified non-coding RNA is filed under the name uncultured Cistella. RNAcentral describes it as "partial internal transcribed spacer 2". Lineage: Eukaryota; Fungi; Ascomycota; Leotiomycetes; Helotiales; Hyaloscyphaceae. The record is from RNAcentral.
UAACCCUCAAGCCUAGCUUGGUGUUGGAGCAUGCCCUCGGGCCGCUCUUAAAAUCAGUGGCAGUGCCUGUCGGCUCUAAGCGUAGUAAUUUCUCUCGCUAUAGGGUCCGGUAGAACACGCGCCAGAACCCCCAACUUUCUAU